This 512-nucleotide ribosomal RNA is filed under the name uncultured bacterium. Its description in RNAcentral is "bacterial SSU rRNA". It matches the Rfam family "Bacterial small subunit ribosomal RNA", at positions 989 to 1500 of the family's 1533-position model. The record is from RNAcentral.
AUUCAGAACUUGGCAGAGAUGCCUUGGUGCCUUCGGGAACUGUGAGACAGGUGCUGCAUGGCUGUCGUCAGCUCGUGUUGUGAAAUGUUGGGUUAAGUCCCGCAAUGAGCGCAACCCUUAUCCUUUGUUGCCAGCGGUUAGGCCGGGAACUCAAAGGAGACCGCCAGUGAUAAACUGGAGGAAGGUGGGGAUGACGUCAAGUCAUCAUGGCCCUUACGACCAGGGCUACACACGUGCUACAAUGGCGCAUACAAAGAGAAGCAAACUCGCGAGAGCAAGCGGACCUCAUAAAGUGCGUCGUAGUCCGGAUUGGAGUCUGCAACUCGACUCCAUGAAGUCGGAAUCGCUAGUAAUCGUGAAUCAGAAUGUCACGGUGAAUACGUUCCCGGGCCUUGUACACACCGCCCGUCACACCAUGGGAGUGGGUUGCAAAAGAAGUAGGUAGCUUAACCUUCGGGAGGGCGCUUACCACUUUGUGAUUCAUGACUGGGGUGAAGUCGUAACAAGGUAAC